UGACAGAAGCAAUCUGCCCGUGU
This 23-nucleotide non-coding RNA is filed under the name Rattus norvegicus (Norway rat). Lineage: Eukaryota; Metazoa; Chordata; Mammalia; Rodentia; Muridae. The record is from RNAcentral.